GCUGGGCGUGGUGGCACACGCCUGUAGUCCCAGCUACUUGGGAGGCUGAGGCAGGGGAAUCACUUGAAUCCAGGAGAUGGAGGUUGCAGUGAGCCAAGAUCCGGCCACUGCACUCCAGCCUGGAUGAUAAAGUGAGACUCUGUCUCAA
Molecule: non-coding RNA, 148 nt
Organism: Homo sapiens (human)
Lineage: Eukaryota; Metazoa; Chordata; Mammalia; Primates; Hominidae
Rfam family: Metazoan signal recognition particle RNA
About the family: The signal recognition particle (SRP) is a universally conserved ribonucleoprotein.
Source: Rfam